This 119-nucleotide ribosomal RNA is filed under the name Pteropus alecto (black flying fox). Lineage: Eukaryota; Metazoa; Chordata; Mammalia; Chiroptera; Pteropodidae. The record is from RNAcentral.
GUCUAUGGCCAUGCUACCCUGAACAAGCUCAAUCCCAUCUGAUCUCAGAAGCUAAGCAGGGUCAGGCCUGGUUAGUACUUGGAUGGGAGACCACCUAGGAAGACCAGGUGUUGUAGGCG